Molecule: long non-coding RNA, 921 nt
Organism: Cucumis sativus (cucumber)
Lineage: Eukaryota; Viridiplantae; Streptophyta; Magnoliopsida; Cucurbitales; Cucurbitaceae
Exons: 3
Source: RefSeq, a predicted model, not a curated record
AACAUUUUUCAGUCUAAGCAAAGACAUAUGGGCUAAGGUUUUUUCUGAAAAUUAAGUACUAUAUUUUAGGCUCAUGCCUCUGCUUGAAACUGAUGGUAGCCUUGUACUGCUGAUGGAGAAAUCAUCUUCACAGCCACUUGAGUGUCAUCUAGAACUCCAUAGUAAACCAUCCCAAAACCUCCUUUACCAAGAAUUCUCUCAAAAUUGUUGGUCAUCACCACAACUUCCGCAUAAGUGAACUGAUGUCUCCUUUUCUCCAAUGAACUGCCUAAAUGAGUGUUUGUCUUUGCCGGAUCCUUUUUCGAAGAAACAUUCUUAUCUUGUUGUUUCUUUUUUGAUUUAGAAAUCAAAUAAAUAAUUGCCGCAAUUAUGAGGAGUGCAAGCAAUCCACCCACCGAUGCUACUAUUGGAAUGAUGAUAUUAUUAUUGCUUUUCUUCCUUUCUGGUGUCAUCUUUGUGCAUGGCUCUAAGACAUGAAGAAGAAAGCAAGUUCAUGUUUCCUCCCUAUAAUGGACCUUAAUGUUAACUUACAGGUAUUGGAGGUGUGACAAUUGGAUCAGAAAAUUAGGUACUUCUCCUGCCAAGUAAUUGUUUGAUAAAUCCCUGAAAUAUAAGUACAUUUUUAUUGGCUUAGGUUCAAGCAUAAAAUUCUAAUAUAGUAAUGGGGAGACUCUUACAAUGUUUGUAACAUUGGUAGACCGAUUAUGUCUGGAGAUAUCUCACCCUUCAAUGCGCUUGAAGACAAGUUCCUAGUAACAAGUUAAUUCUCUUAUUAUAAAAUUUUCACUAGUUGUAAAGCUCAAUUUAGUAGGAUACAAUCACGGAAUUGAACUUUAUUUGUUUCUUUGUAACUCGAAGUAAACUUACAGUGAUAUGAUUCUGGGCACUAAAUCAAAACUACAAUUCAAUCCACUCCAUGGA